GACGAACGCUGGCGGCGUGCCUAAUACAUGCAAGUAGAACGCUGAAGGAGGAGCUUGCUUCUCUGGAUGAGUUGCGAACGGGUGAGUAACGCGUAGGUAACCUGCCUGGUAGCGGGGGAUAACUAUUGGAAACGAUAGCUAAUACCGCAUAAGAGUAGAUGUCGCAUGACAUUUGCUUAAAAGGUGCAAUUGCAUCACUACCAGAUGGACCUGCGUUGUAUUAGCUAGUUGGUGAGGUAACGGCUCACCAAGGCAACGAUACAUAGCCGACCUGAGAGGGUGAUCGGCCACACUGGGACUGAGACACGGCCCAGACUCCUACGGGAGGCAGCAGUGGGGAAUCUUCGGCAAUGGACGGAAGUCUGAGCGAGCAACGCCGCGUGAGUGAAGAAGGGUUUCGGAUCGUAAAGCUCUGUUGUAAGAGAAGAACGAGUGUGAGAGUGGAAAGUUCACACUGUGACGGUAUCUUACCAGAAAGGGACGGCUAACUACGUG
Molecule: ribosomal RNA, 495 nt
Filed under: uncultured bacterium
Lineage: Bacteria
Description: partial 16S ribosomal RNA
Rfam family: Bacterial small subunit ribosomal RNA
Source: RNAcentral